GGCUAACUCCGUGCCAGCAGCCGCGGUAAUACGGAGGGUGCGAGCGUUAAUCGGAAUUACUGGGCGUAAAGCGCAUGCAGGCGGCCUGUUAAGUCAGAUGUGAAAGCCCGGGGCGUUAACCUCGGAAUUGCAUUUGAAACUGGCAGGCUAGAGUCUUGUAGAGGGGGGUAGGAAUUUCAGGUGUAGCGGUGAAAUGCGUAGAGAUCUGAAGGAAUACCAGUGGCGAAGGCGGCCCCCUCGGACAAAGACUGACGCUCAGAUGCGAAAGCGUGGGGAGCAAACAGGAUUAGAUACCCUGGUAG
RNAcentral lists this ribosomal RNA (302 nucleotides) under uncultured bacterium. RNAcentral's name for it is "bacterial SSU rRNA". It matches the Rfam family "Bacterial small subunit ribosomal RNA", at positions 495 to 793 of the family's 1533-position model. The record is from RNAcentral.